GACGAACGCUGGCGGCGUGCUUAACACAUGCAAGUCGAACGGUAAGGCCCUUCGGGGUACACGAGUGGCGAACGGGUGAGUAACACGUGAGUGAUCUGCCCUGCACUUCGGGAUAAGCAUGGGAAACUGGGGCUAAUACAGGCUAGGACCACUGCAGACAUGGGGGGUGGUGGAAAGAUUUUGCGGUGUGGGAUGGGCCCGCGGACUAGCAGCUUGUUGGUGGGGUGAUGGCCUACCAAGGCGACGACGGGUAGCCGGCCUGGGAGGGUGACCGGCCACACUGGGACUGAGAUACGGCCCAGACUCCUACGGGAGGCAGCAGUGGGGAAUAUUGCACAAUGGGCGCAAGCCUGAUGCAGCGACGCCGCGUGAGGGAUGACGGCCUUCGGGUUGUAAACCUCUUUCAGCACCGACGAAGCGCAAGUGACGGUAGGUGCAGAAGAAGGACCGGCCAACUACGUGCCAGCAGCCGCAGUAA
Molecule: ribosomal RNA, 478 nt
Filed under: uncultured bacterium
Lineage: Bacteria
Description: partial 16S ribosomal RNA
Rfam family: Bacterial small subunit ribosomal RNA
Source: RNAcentral